UAUCAAAUCUGUUUCAAAAUAAAUCCACAGUAUUUUUCAGAUACAUCUAUCAGGAAUCUCUAUUUCUGUUUUUGGCCUUACACCUUAGCCUUACAGUGUCUACAUUAUGUUUCCAUGGCAAAAUUGCUUGCAUUAGAGCCUGACGGAUCAUGUGUGAACCAUGGGAGAAAUGUCUCAGAAUGUUUUUAUUGAAGCUCUUUCCAAGAGGAUGGGUAUAGAAGUGAGUAUAGGGGAGCUGUCAUUAGCUGUAUGUCCCUCUUCUAAAUGAAGCUGUUGUAAUAUCUGUGUUUCAAGAUGCGUGUCAAGUCUGAACUGAGCUUUAAAUAAAUGCAAUUUAAUUGGUUUCAAAUAACAGAUAUAAUGAUUGCAUACCCUGUAUAAUAAGGUAUUAUGGAUUUAAAAUUCACUAGACAUUGAAGUCCGUGGAGAAAGUUUUGCUCAUCUCUGUAUUCCCAUUCGAUAGCAUUCUAAUGCACAUCUUUAUCUGGUGAAGGAAUGUGCCCCUGACCUGUCCAAUCCACAUUUGUCACUGCUGUUUUCUAUCUCUAGUCCUGACCAAGGCACGGGUUAAGUUAGGAUACCCUUACAAUGGGAGGUAUCUGGAAAUAGUUGUACAACUCUAGACACUAGGAUUGAUGGGCUUUCCCUGGGGAGGGAAUGAGUUAAUUUUCUUGCUAUAUUUCCAUACGCCACCAAGACCUGAACUCUGCCCUAAAUACUAAUGCCUGUGAGCCUGACAGCCUUUCUAAAUCCUCCUAACCCUUUUCCAUGUGACUGAACUCUGUCCCUUGUGCACCAGCCACUGGACAGGCUGCUGCAUGGAAUGAAUUGGUCACCCAUCCCCCUGACACCAACUUUAUCUGUGCCCUACCUACCCGAUCAAAUCUCCUCAAAUAUUGACAGACAUAGAGAGAUACAGUGAGGCUUGCAGAUCUUAAAUCCAAGUUUUCUCUGCCCCUUUGGACAUUAAUUUUUUGAUUAUGAAAGACCCUGAUUAGGGAUCCGAUAGAUAACUGGAUCAAUUUUUUUCAACCCCGUCUCUUAAAUAUUGAGUCUUUCUAAUUUUCCAAUGGCAGCCCAUCUUGAAAUGUGAGACACUGAAAGUUAAAAGUAAAUGCUAUAUUGACUGUUAUAUUGAAUAAACAGAUAUGUACAAUUUCUAAUAAUAUAUGCUUAGUAAAAGGAGUUUAGUUGCACAAGGAAGUUUUGAAGCUAAAGUAUUUUAAUAAUGACUAUAGUAAAUUGCCUUGAAGAGGUUUCUCAAUUUUUCAGAUAUUGUCAACAAUAGAACUUAAAUAUGAUAGCAGAAACUUUUAUAAAAUGAGAUACUAUUUCAUAAUUAUAGUGUUGACAAAAAUGUUCGGAGAUGAGUUUUGUGAAAACUUACUGCUUUAGUUUCUGUGCUUCUGAUAUAAUUAAAUAGGAUUCAUGUGGCAAGUGGAACUGUAGCGUGUCAUUGACUCUGAUGCUGAGAGUGAUACUGAGAAAGUCAACUCAACACAACCAUCAUUCACUGAACAUUAACAGACAUGAGGCAAAGGAGAGCGGGUGUGGUAACCACAUUAGUUGAUACAGAUGUGACAUUCUGGAAAGGAAUUUCCUCAUGUUAUACCCUGUCUGGAGGACUUUGCAGCAGCCCUUCUCCUAAGCUUUGUUUGCUUGCUGGCUGGCUUGCUUGUUUUAAUCAGUGACCACAGCGAUGACAAAGAAGAGAGGCUAACCAAAUCUGCAGAGGUUGCAAUGUUAUGGAUAACUAAUGUGCUGAAUGGUAAACACAGGAUUCAGAAUAUCUUGAUAGCUUACACCAGAGGACCAAAACUAACAAUAUACAAUUUCACAGGGAUAAAUGUAAAGUCCUACAUUUAAGUUUAAGAAAAGUCAACUUCCCAAAGGAGAGAAGUAGGAACACAAGAUUACAGCAAUAAAUACACUAAAAUAUUUAGGUCAUAGCAAAUUAAACGUAGCUAACCUAUGAUGAUGUAACCACCACCAAAGCAAGCUAGCAAAGCUUUCUUCAGAGCAGAGAAGAACCUAGAACAAGGAAAGUACCAGUCUGGUCUCUGCACUGGCCACAGCCAAUCUAGAAUUAUCUGGUGAGUUCUAGAUCUCUUGGUUUAAGAACAACGAUAACAAAUCUGUACAAAUAGUGUUAACAGUAAAGGCUAUUGAAAUCAUGUGAAAGCAACAGUAGAUGUUCAGUCUGAGGAUGAUGAUUUAUCAUCUUGAAGGGGGCUUUAACUGAAUAGCAUAGUAAAAUAGAAUAAUAAAAUAGCCUUUGAGAAUCAAAAAUAUGGAUGGAUGGAUGGAUGGAUUUUGGCUCUACUUGGUGUUAAUAUUCAGACUCAAAAAAUUACUCCCGUUUCUAUCUUUUUAAAAAAUUGGGAAAUUAAAAAUUACAUGUAUUUAUUAUGUACAACAUGAUAUUUUUCCCCUGUAUACAUUGUGGAGUGAAUAAAUUGAACUAACUGAAAA
Heterocephalus glaber (naked mole-rat) is the source of this 2472-nucleotide non-coding RNA. NCBI's taxonomy places the organism in Eukaryota, Metazoa, Chordata, Mammalia, Rodentia, Bathyergidae. The record is from RefSeq and is a predicted model, not a curated record.